AACGAACGCUGGCGGCAUGCCUAACACAUGCAAGUCGAACGAGACCUUCGGGUCUAGUGGCGCACGGGUGCGUAACGUGUGGGAACCUGCCCUUAGGUUCGGAAUAACUCCCCGAAAGGGGUGCUAAUACCGGAUAAUGUCUUCGGACCAAAGAUUUAUCGCCUUUGGAUGGGCCCGCGUUGGAUUAGCUAGUUGGUAGGGUAAAAGCCUACCAAGGCGACGAUCCAUAGCUGGUCUGAGAGGAUGAUCAGCCACACUGGGACUGAGACACGGCCCAGACUCCUACGGGAGGCAGCAGUGGGGAAUAUUGGACAAUGGGCGAAAGCCUGAUCCAGCAAUGCCGCGUGAGUGAUGAAGGCCUUAGGGUUGUAAAGCUCUUUUACCCGGGAUGAUAAUGACAGUACCGGGAGAAUAAGCACCGGCUAACUACGUG
This 433-nucleotide ribosomal RNA is filed under the name uncultured bacterium. Its description in RNAcentral is "partial 16S ribosomal RNA". It matches the Rfam family "Bacterial small subunit ribosomal RNA", at positions 29 to 507 of the family's 1533-position model. The record is from RNAcentral.